Molecule: ribosomal RNA, 473 nt
Filed under: uncultured bacterium
Lineage: Bacteria
Description: bacterial SSU rRNA
Rfam family: Bacterial small subunit ribosomal RNA
Source: RNAcentral
CCUACGGGAGGCAGCAGUGAGGAAUAUUGGACAAUGGGCGCAAGCCUGAUCCAGCCAUGCCGCGUGCAGGAUGACGGUCCUAUGGAUUGUAAACUGCUUUUGCACAGGAAGAAACAACGCUACGUGUAGCGUCUUGACGGUACUGUGAGAAUAAGGAUCGGCUAACUCCGUGCCAGCAGCCGCGGUAAUACGGAGGAUCCAAGCGUUAUCCGGAAUCAUUGGGUUUAAAGGGUCCGUAGGCGGUUUAGUAAGUCAGUGGUGAAAGCCCAUCGCUCAACGGUGGAACGGCCAUUGAUACUGCUAGACUUGAAUUAUUAGGAAGUAACUAGAAUAUGUAGUGUAGCGGUGAAAUGCUUAGAGAUUACAUGGAAUACCAAUUGCGAAGGCAGGUUACUACUAAUGGAUUGACGCUGAUGGACGAAAGCGUGGGUAGCGAACAGGAUUAGAUACCCUGGUAGUCCACGACGUAACGA